This 179-nucleotide ribosomal RNA is filed under the name uncultured bacterium. RNAcentral describes it as "partial 16S ribosomal RNA". It matches the Rfam family "Bacterial small subunit ribosomal RNA", at positions 632 to 810 of the family's 1533-position model. The record is from RNAcentral.
ACUGGCAGGCUUGAGUUCGGGAGAGGAAAGUGGAAUUCCCAGUGUAGAGGUGAAAUUCGUAGAUAUUCGGAAGAACACCGGUGGCGAAGGCGGCUCCCUGGGCCAGUACUGACGCUGAUGCACGAAAGCGUGGGGAGCAAACAGGAUUAGAUACCCUGGUAGUCCACGCCGUAAACGAU